UUAACACAUGCAAGUCGAGGGGCAGCAUGGUCUUAGCUUGCUAAGGCUGAUGGCGACCGGCGCACGGGUGAGUAACACGUAUCCAACCUGCCGUCUACUCUUGGCCAGCCUUCUGAAAGGAAGAUUAAUCCAGGAUGGGAUCAUGAGUUCACAUGUCCGCAUGAUUAAAGGUAUUUUCCGGUAGACGAUGGGGAUGCGUUCCAUUAGAUAGUAGGCGGGGUAACGGCCCACCUAGUCAACGAUGGAUAGGGGUUCUGAGAGGAAGGUCCCCCACAUUGGAACUGAGACACGGUCCAAACUCCUACGGGAGGCAGCAGUGAGGAAUAUUGGUCAAUGGGCGAUGGCCUGAACCAGCCAAGUAGCGUGAAGGAUGACUGCCCUAUGGGUUGUAAACUUCUUUUAUAAAGGAAUAAAGUCGGGUAUGCAUACCCGUUUGCAUGUACUUUAUGAAUAAGGAUCGGCUAACUCCGUGCCAGCAGCCGCGGUAAUACGGAGGAUCCGAGCGUUAUCCGGAUUUAUUGGGUUUAAAGGGAGCGUAGAUGGAUGUUUAAGUCAGUUGUGAAAGUUUGCGGCUCAACCGUAAAAUUGCAGUUGAUACUGGAUGUCUUGAGUGCAGUUGAGGCAGGCGGAAUUCGUGGUGUAGCGGUGAAAUGCUUAGAUAUCACGAAGAACUCCGAUUGCGAAGGCAGCCUGCUAAGCUGCAACUGACAUUGAGGCUCGAAGUGUGGGUAUCAAACAGG
Molecule: ribosomal RNA, 740 nt
Filed under: uncultured Bacteroidales bacterium
Lineage: Bacteria; Pseudomonadati; Bacteroidota; Bacteroidia; Bacteroidales
Description: bacterial SSU rRNA
Rfam family: Bacterial small subunit ribosomal RNA
Source: RNAcentral